RNAcentral lists this RNase P RNA (324 nucleotides) under Miniphocaeibacter halophilus. RNAcentral describes it as "RNase P RNA component class A". It matches the Rfam family "Bacterial RNase P class A". From Rfam's summary of the family: Ribonuclease P (RNase P) is a ubiquitous endoribonuclease, found in archaea, bacteria and eukarya as well as chloroplasts and mitochondria. The record is from RNAcentral. Lineage: Bacteria; Bacillati; Bacillota; Tissierellia; Tissierellales; Peptoniphilaceae.
UGAGUAGAAAAGAUAAUCGCGUUAAUACGAGGAAAGUCCGUGCACUAUAGAGCAGAAUGCUGGAUAACGUCCAGUGGGGGCGACCCUAAGGAAAGUGCAACAGAGAGAUACCGCCAAUUUUUGGUAAGGGUGGAAAGGUAAGGUAAGAGCUUACCAGCAUGUAGGUGACUAUAUGGCUAUGUAAACCCCAUUCAGUGCAAGAUCAAGUAGGAUUAUAUGUGGCUGCUCGUCACUCCUAAGGUAGAUCGCUUGAACUAUUUGGUAACAUUUAGUCUAGACAGAUGAUUAUCUAAAACAGAACACGGCUUAUUUUCUGGUCACUUG